This 424-nucleotide ribosomal RNA is filed under the name Verrucomicrobiota bacterium. Its description in RNAcentral is "Verrucomicrobia bacterium partial 16S ribosomal RNA". It matches the Rfam family "Bacterial small subunit ribosomal RNA", at positions 355 to 776 of the family's 1533-position model. Lineage: Bacteria; Pseudomonadati; Verrucomicrobiota. The record is from RNAcentral.
UGAGGAAUAUUGGUCAAUGGGCGAGAGCCUGAACCAGCCAAGUAGCGUGCAGGAUGACGGCCCUAUGGGUUGUAAACUGCUUUUAUAUGGGAAUAAAGUGAGGGACGUGUCCCUUAUUGCAUGUACCAUACGAAUAAGGACCGGCUAAUUCCGUGCCAGCAGCCGCGGUAAUACGGAAGGUCCAGGCGUUAUCCGGAUUUAUUGGGUUUAAAGGGAGCGUAGGCUGUCUAUUAAGCGUGUUGUGAAAUUUACCGGCUCAACCGGUGGCUUGCAGCGCGAACUGGUCGACUUGAGUAUGCAGGAAGUAGGCGGAAUUCAUGGUGUAGCGGUGAAAUGCUUAGAUAUCAUGACGAACUCCGAUUGCGCAGGCAGCUUACUGUAGCAUAACUGACGCUGAUGCUCGAAGGUGCGGGUAUCGAACAGG